RNAcentral lists this ribosomal RNA (670 nucleotides) under Suillus sibiricus. Its description in RNAcentral is "eukaryotic LSU rRNA". The stretch from base 215 to 369 matches the Rfam family "5.8S ribosomal RNA". Lineage: Eukaryota; Fungi; Basidiomycota; Agaricomycetes; Boletales; Suillaceae. The record is from RNAcentral.
GCGGGCUUUGAUUAUAUCCGGCGAGACGAAGGACGAGGACUGUCGCUGGCCUUUCAUCGAGGCAUGUGCACGCUCUCUUCUGGACUUUCGCCGUAUGGGCGCGGGGCGACCCGCGUCUUCAUAUACCUCUUCGUGUAGAAAGUCUUUGAAUGUUUUUACAAUCAUCGAGUCGUGACUUCUAGGAGACGCGAUUCUUUGAGACAAAAGUUAUCACAACUUUCAGCAAUGGAUCUCUUGGCUCUCGCAUCGAUGAAGAACGCAGCGAAUCGCGAUAUGUAAUGUGAAUUGCAGAUCUACAGUGAAUCAUCGAAUCUUUGAACGCACCUUGCGCUCCUCGGUGUUCCGAGGAGCAUGCCUGUUUGAGCGUCAGUAAAUUCUCAACCCCUCUCGAUUUGCUUCGAGUGGGGCUUGGAUGGUGGGGGCUGCCGGAGACCUGGAAUUCAUUCCGGGACUCGGGCUCCUCUGAAAUGCAUCGGCUUGCGGUCGACUUUCGACUUUGCGCGACAAAGCUUUCGGCGUGAUAAUGAUCGCCGUUCGCUGAAGCGCAUGAAUGAAUGGUCCCGUGCCUCUAAUCAGUCGACGCCUUCUGGGCGUCUUCCUUAUAGACGUUUGACCUCAAAUCAGGUAGGACUACCCGCUGAACUUAAGCAUAUCAUAAGCCGGGAGGAAA